Non-coding RNA from Podarcis lilfordi (Lilford's wall lizard), 68 nucleotides. The record is from the annotation of a GenBank genome assembly. Lineage: Eukaryota; Metazoa; Chordata; Lepidosauria; Squamata; Lacertidae.
GCUGUAGCUCAGUGGUGGAGCAUCAGCCUUGCAUGCAGAAGGUGCCAGGUUCAAUCCCAGUGUAGACA